CUAAGAAUAUUCCGCAAUGGACGAAAGUCUGACGGAGCGACGCCGCGUGGAUGAAGAAGGCCGAAAGGUUGUAAAGUUCUUUUGCUAGGGGAGAAUAAGUGAGGGAGGGAAUGCCCUCAUGAUGACAAGGACUAGCGAAUAAGCCCCGGCCAACUACGUGCCAGCAGCCGCGGUAACACGUAAGGGGCGAGCGUUGUUCGGAAUUAUUGGGCGUAAAGGGUACGUAGGCUGUUUUGAAAGCUUGGUGUGAAAUGCUGCGGCUUAACCGCAGAGCUGCAUUGAGAACUGCAAGGCUAGAGUUACUGAAGGGAAACUAGAAUUCCAGGUGUAGGGGUGAAAUCUGUAGAUAUCUGGAAGAAUACCAAUGGCGAAGGCAAGUUUCUGGCAGAUAACUGACGC
Molecule: ribosomal RNA, 399 nt
Filed under: uncultured bacterium
Lineage: Bacteria
Description: bacterial SSU rRNA
Rfam family: Bacterial small subunit ribosomal RNA
Source: RNAcentral